Molecule: ribosomal RNA, 682 nt
Filed under: Stegobolus berkeleyanus
Lineage: Eukaryota; Fungi; Ascomycota; Lecanoromycetes; Ostropales; Graphidaceae
Description: SSU rRNA
Rfam family: Bacterial small subunit ribosomal RNA
Source: RNAcentral
UGAUGUACCUAGUAAUAUUAGUGAUUAAUAUGAGAUUAACUAAGUUAAUUAAAAUUCUAAGUAGAUAUGUGAUUAUGACAAUAUCUGCUUAAGUCUUGACCAAGUCACGUGCCAGCAGUCGCGGUAAUACGUGGUAGACAAGUGUUAUUCAUCUUUAAUAGGUUUAAAGGGUACCUAGACGGUUAAUUAAGCAAUCUAUGUACUAAUUAACUAGAGUUUGAUGUAAGAAGGAUUGAGUACGGUGAGUGGAGAGAUAAAAUUCUUUGAUACCACUUAGGAACUGGUAAGGGCGAAGGCAACCUUCAAUGUAAAAACUGACGUUAAGGGACGAAGGCUCAUGUAAAAUAAUAGGAUUAGAUACCCUAGUAUUGUGAGCAGAAAAUGAUGAGUGUCAUAUACAAUAAAAAUUAUUGUGUAUAAAUGAAAGUGUAAGCAUUCCACCUCAAGAGUAACGUGGCAACAUGGGAACUGAAAUCAUUAGACCGUUUCUGAAACUCGUAGUGAAGUAUGUUGUUUAAUUUGAUAAUACACAAAUAACCUUACCACAAUUUGUAUAACUAUAGUUAUAUAUAGUUACAAGCGUUGCACGGCUGUCAGAAGUCAAUGUUGUGAAACUAUGGUUAGAUCCAUCUAAUUGACGUAAACCCUUACUUUAUUUAUUAUAAAGUGGUUCGCCGCUAUA